AGGAUGAACGCUGGCGGCGUGCCUAAUACAUGCAAGUCGAGCGGCAGCACGGUCUUCGGACUGGUGGCGAGCGGCGGACGGCUGAGUAACGCGUGGGAACGUACCCCAAAGUGAGGGAUAAGCACCAGAAAUGGUGUCUAAUACCGCAUGUGCUCUAAGGAGUAAAGCUUCGGCGCUUUGGGAACGGCCUGCGUCCGAUUAGCUAGUUGGUAAGGUAAUGGCUUACCAAGGUUACGAUCGGUAGCUGGUCUGAGAGGAUGACCAGCCAGACUGGGACUGAGAACGGCCCAGACUCCUACGGGAGGCAGCAGUAGGGAAUUUUCCACAAUGGGCGAAAGCCUGAUGGAGCAACGCCGCGUGCAGGAUGAAGGCCUUCGGGUUGUAAACUGCUUUUAUGUAUGACGAUUAUGACGGUAGUACAUGAAUAAGGAUCGGCUAACUCCGUGCCAGCAGCCGC
This 457-nucleotide ribosomal RNA is filed under the name uncultured bacterium. RNAcentral describes it as "SSU rRNA". It matches the Rfam family "Bacterial small subunit ribosomal RNA", at positions 26 to 518 of the family's 1533-position model. The record is from RNAcentral.